This 869-nucleotide ribosomal RNA is filed under the name uncultured Neocallimastigales. RNAcentral's name for it is "partial large subunit ribosomal RNA". It matches the Rfam family "Eukaryotic large subunit ribosomal RNA", at positions 25 to 632 of the family's 3401-position model. Lineage: Eukaryota; Fungi; Neocallimastigomycota; Neocallimastigomycetes; Neocallimastigales. The record is from RNAcentral.
ACACUGACGUCGCGACGCAUAUCAAUAAGCGGAGGAAAAGAAACUAACUAGGAUUCCCUCAGUAACGGCGAGUGAAGCGGGAAGAGCUCAAAUUUGAAAUCUUCAAGGUUCUACCUUGACGAAUUGUAGUUUAAAGAAGUGUUUUCUGUUGAAGUUUUGGUAAAAGUUCUUUGGAAUAGGACAUCAUAGAGGGUGAGAAUCCCGUAUUUGACCAUUAUUUUCAGCUGUGUGAUACACUUUCAAAGAGUCGGAUUGUUUGGGAAUGCAGUCCAAAAUGGGUGGUAAAUUUCAUCUAAAGCUAAAUAUUGGCGAGAGACCGAUAGCAAACAAGUACCGUGAGGGAAAGAUGAAAAGAACUUUGAAAAGAGAGUUAAACAGUACGUGAAAUUGUCAAAAGGGAAGCGUUUGACACCAGUGUUGUUUUCUCGAAAAUCAAUUAAAAAAGACUGGAUUUUGUGUUGUAUUGACUUUAUCAGCUUUCUGCACUCUUUUCUUGUCUUUUUUAAUGCACUUUUCGUUUAACAAGUCAACAUCAAUUUCUUUUGUUGUAAAAGGGUCAUUGGAAGGUGGCUUUCUUUUCGGAGAAAGUGUUUAUAGCCUUUGGCCUCUGCAAUCGGAGAGAUUGAGGUCUGCAGCGUAGAUCCUUCGGGGUUAGAUACAUUUGUGCUAAGUUAUAGCCUUUCAUAGACAACUUGUUGACUAUGAUUUAGUCAUUGUAGCUUACUCGCUUAUGCUAUUUUACCUACGCUUAGGAUGUUGAGACACGCGCGUGCUCGACUCUACACUGACGUCGCGACGCAUAUCAAUAAGCGGAGGAAAAGCAUAACAUGUAUACCUACGCUUAGGAUGUUGAGUCGUAGAGCACGCAG